GUAUAUUCGGCAGUACAUAUACUAAAAUUGGAACGAUACAGAGAAGAUUAGCAUCUCC
RNAcentral lists this small nuclear RNA (58 nucleotides) under Stegodyphus mimosarum. Lineage: Eukaryota; Metazoa; Arthropoda; Arachnida; Araneae; Eresidae. The record is from RNAcentral.